UAGGGAAUCUUCCGCAAUGGGCGAAAGCCUGACGGAGCAACGCCGCGUGAGUGAUGAAGGUCUUCGGAUCGUAAAACUCUGUUAUUAGGGAAGAACAAAUGUGUAAGUAACUAUGCACGUCUUGACGGUACCUAAUCAGAAAGCCACGGCUAACUACGUGCCAGCAGCCGCGGUAAUACGUAGGUGGCAAGCGUUAUCCGGAAUUAUUGGGCGUAAAGCGCGCGUAGGCGGUGUUUUAAGUCUGAUGUGAAAGCCCACGGCUCAACCGUGGAGGGUCAUUGGAAACUGGAAAACUUGAGUGCAGAAGAGGAAAGUGGAAUUCCAUGUGUAGCGGUGAAAUGCGCAGAGAUAUGGAGGAACACCAGUGGCGAAGGCGACUUUCUGGUCUGUAACUGACGCUGAUGUGCGAAAGCGUGGGGAUCAAACAGG
This 429-nucleotide ribosomal RNA is filed under the name Actinomycetes bacterium. RNAcentral describes it as "Actinobacteria bacterium partial 16S ribosomal RNA". It matches the Rfam family "Bacterial small subunit ribosomal RNA", at positions 355 to 776 of the family's 1533-position model. Lineage: Bacteria; Bacillati; Actinomycetota; Actinomycetes. The record is from RNAcentral.